UUCUUCUUUUUCCAUUUCCAAACGUUCCCGACGCAGCUUCUUCUUCAAAAUCUUCUCCAUCCUCUUCUUUGUUGUCUCAGAAAAAAAUCGAUCACAAGAUUCGCUGUUAUGAGGUUGAGGAAAGUUAAAAGUUGAUUUUCCUUUAAAUCUAUCGAGGAUGGUGAAGGAAUAAAACCCUAAAUCAUUUUUUGUUGUUAUGCUUUUGUUGCUGUUAACUGAGAGAUGAUUUCACGAGCAACUUUGUUAUACUUCAUUAGCUUAGAUUUCAACUUCGAUUAAGAAUCCUAAGUAAAUCUUCUUUAAAUUUUAAUUUCAGUUGUAAACCCUAACUAAUUUUUUUUUUUAUUUCAGACACCUCCAGAUUCAAAUAUAUAGGGCUUCUGAAUAAGACCUUCAGGGAAACUAAUAACUGGUUGUUUGUGAUUUUAAUUUCACCCACCUCUCGGUUUCAAUCUCAAUUCUACACCAUUUUUUGAUGUGUGUGUGGAUCUAAUAACUGGUUGUUUGUGAAUUGUGCUGGAAAACUUAGAGGAAAACUCACAAGAGAAGAAGCCUUGAGGUAGAUUUCACAAGAGGAUGCAAUACAACAGAUGUUUCGUUACUGCUGUAAUAGCAGCAAUGAGCACUCAUGAGUACCGAUUUGAGGUGAAACAAGAGGAGAAGUUUGGUUCUUUUGGAGCCUCAUGGUUAAUCCACUGGGAUGAAGUGCUGCAGUAUUUUUGAAGGCCUGUGGAAUAUAUAGGAACAUGAAAACUUAAUGGAAAAGAAAUCACUAAGCACCCCAUGACACAAACAGAAUGUGUCCCUCUGAUGAACCCAAUGGGUUAAAUGGAAGAGAGUGGAAGGAUCUUCUGUAAUUUUGGACUACUUACCAUCAGCAACGUCAAAAGAAGAGGCCAUGAAAAGGCCAAGCAUACAAUGGGGCAGAAAACUUUUCUCGAUGCAAAUCUAAAUUGAGGCCUGGGAGUCGAUGGCCUGCAACAGAGACUGUUCAUGCGUUAAGAAAUGGAGUUGCUGCAAUGAAGUCAAACCCCAUUGGAGCCGCUGCAGACUUUGAUGAGGAUGAGUUCUAAGCUGAACUUGAGUAGUUGGUCAAGAAGCUUGCAAAGAAGUUCCAUGCUUUUCUAGCCUCAGAGGCUGUUAUCAAGCAGACUCAUUGUCUUCUUGGACCUGGACUUAACAAG
Molecule: long non-coding RNA, 1184 nt
Organism: Papaver somniferum (opium poppy)
Lineage: Eukaryota; Viridiplantae; Streptophyta; Magnoliopsida; Ranunculales; Papaveraceae
Exons: 7
Source: RefSeq, a predicted model, not a curated record